This 379-nucleotide unclassified non-coding RNA is filed under the name uncultured Lysobacteraceae bacterium. Its description in RNAcentral is "uncultured Xanthomonadaceae bacterium contains 16S-23S intergenic spacer region". Lineage: Bacteria; Pseudomonadati; Pseudomonadota; Gammaproteobacteria; Lysobacterales; Lysobacteraceae. The record is from RNAcentral.
UCCGGUUUGUCACCGGCGGUCUCCCUAGAGUUCCCACCAUUACGUGCUGGCAACUAGGGACAAGGGUUGCGCUCGUUGCGGGACUUAACCCAACAUCUCACGACACGAGCUGACGACAGCCAUGCAGCACCUGUCUCACGGUUCCCGAAGGCACCCUCGCAUCUCUGCAAGGUUCCGUGGAUGUCAAGGCCAGGUAAGGUUCUGCGCGUUGCAUCGAAUUAAACCACAUACUCCACCGCUUGUGCGGGCCCCCGUCAAUUCCUUUGAGUUUCAGUCUUGCGACCGUACUCCCCAGGCGGCGAACUUAACGCGUUAGCUUCGAUACUGAAGGCCUGAUUGCCCCCAACAUCCAGUUCGCAUCGUUUAGGGCGUGGACUAC